This 515-nucleotide ribosomal RNA is filed under the name uncultured bacterium. RNAcentral describes it as "partial 16S ribosomal RNA". It matches the Rfam family "Bacterial small subunit ribosomal RNA", at positions 28 to 523 of the family's 1533-position model. The record is from RNAcentral.
GAUGAACGCCGGCGGCGUGCCUAAUACAUGCAAGUCGAGCGAAUGGAUUAAGAGCUUGCUCUUAUGAAGUUAGCGGCGGACGGGUGAGUAACACGUGGGUAACCUGCCCAUAAGACUGGGAUAACUCCGGGAAACCGGGGCUAAUACAGGCUAACAUUUUGAACCGCAUGGUUCGAAAUUGAAAGGCGGCUUCGGCUGUCACUUAUGGAUGGACCCGCGUCGCAUUAGCUAGUUGGUGAGGUAACGGCUCGACAAGGCAACGAUGCGUAGCCGACCUGAGAGGGUGAUCGGCCACACUGGGACUGAGAAACGGCCCAGACUCCUACGGGAGGCAGCAGUAGGGAAUCUUCCGCAAUGGACGAAAGUCUGACGGAGCAACGCCGCGUGAGUGAUGAAGGCUUUCGGGUCGUAAAACUCUGUUGUUAGGGAAGAACAAGUGCUAGUUGAAUAAGCUGGCACCUUGACGGUACCUAACCAGAAAGCCACGGCUAACUACGUGCCAGCAGCCGCCGUAA